GACGAACGCUGGCGGCGUGCUUAACACAUGCAAGUCGAACGAUGAAGCUGUGCUUGCACAGUGGAUUAGUGGCGAACGGGUGAGUAACACGUGAGUAACCUGCCCUCCACUUUGGGAUAACUCCGAGAAAUCGGGGCUAAUACUGGAUAUGACCUUGGCCCGCAUGGGUUUUGGUGGAAAGUUUUUCGGUGGGGGAUGGGCUCGCGGCCUAUCAGUUUGUUGGUGAGGUAGUGGCUCACCAAGGCGAUGACGGGUAGCCGGCCUGAGAGGGGCGACCGGCCACACUGGGACUGAGACACGGCCCAGACUCCUACGGGAGGCAGCAGUGGGGAAUAUUGCACAAUGGGCGAAAGCCUGAUGCAGCGACGCCGCGUGGGGAUGACGGCCUCGGGUUGUAAACCUCUUUCAGCAAGGAAGAAGCGAAAGUGACGGUACUUGCAGAAGAAGCGCCGGCUAACUACGUGCCAGCAGCCGCGGUAAUACGUAGGGCGCAAGCGUUGUCCGGAAUUAUUGGGCGUAAAGGGCUUGUAGGUGGCUUGUCGCGUCUGCCGUGAAAACUCGAGGCUUAACCUUGGGCGUGCGGUGGGUACGGGCAGGCUAGAGUGCGGUAGGGGAGACUGGAAUUCCUGGUGUAGCGGUGAAAUGCGCAGAUAUCAGGAGGAACACCGAUGGCGAAGGCAGGUCUCUGGGCCGUUACUGACACUGAGAAGCGAAAAGCAUGGGGAGCGAACCAGGAUUAGAUACCCUGGUAGUCCCUGGACUGCCAAGGG
RNAcentral lists this ribosomal RNA (770 nucleotides) under uncultured bacterium. RNAcentral's name for it is "bacterial SSU rRNA". It matches the Rfam family "Bacterial small subunit ribosomal RNA", at positions 28 to 809 of the family's 1533-position model. The record is from RNAcentral.